Molecule: ribosomal RNA, 484 nt
Filed under: uncultured bacterium
Lineage: Bacteria
Description: partial 16S ribosomal RNA
Rfam family: Bacterial small subunit ribosomal RNA
Source: RNAcentral
AUUGAACGCUGGCGGCAUGCUUUACACAUGCAAGUCGAACGGCAGCGCGGGCUUCGGCCUGGCGGCGAGUGGCGAACGGGUGAGUAAUACAUCGGAACGUGCCCAGUAGUGGGGGAUAGCUCGGCGAAAGCCGGAUUAAUACCGCAUACGACCUGAGGGUGAAAGCGGGGGAUCUUCGGACCUCGCGCUAUUUGAGCGGCCGAUGGCAGAUUAGCUAGUUGGUGGGGUAAAGGCCUACCAAGGCGACGAUCUGUAGCUGGUCUGAGAGGACGACCAGCCACACUGGGACUGAGACACGGCCCAGACUCCUACGGGAGGCAGCAGUGGGGAAUUUUGGACAAUGGGCGAAAGCCUGAUCCAGCAAUGCCGCGUGUGUGAUGAGGGCCUUCGGGUUGUAAAGCACUUUUGGCGGGAACGAAAAGGACUGUGCCAAUACCACGGUUCGAUGACGGUACCCGCAGAAUAAGCACCGGCUAACUACGUG